Molecule: long non-coding RNA, 2645 nt
Organism: Glycine soja
Lineage: Eukaryota; Viridiplantae; Streptophyta; Magnoliopsida; Fabales; Fabaceae
Exons: 2
Source: RefSeq, a predicted model, not a curated record
AUAAUCAUUAUAAUACAUAAUUCCCUCAAAUUAGUCUUUAUUCUAGAUUGGAAAGUCUUCCAUGCAUUUUCUAUAUUUCUUUAGUAAAUAUGGCUUACUGAUAUCAUGAUAUAUAUAUUUAUUCCUCAUUUUAUUAUGAUUCCUGCCCCAAUCCUUAAUCAAGGGAGCAUUUCAGUAAAGAAAAUGAAAUAUAAUUUUAUAUUCGAAGGAGUAUGGACUCAAAUAUGGACUUGCUAUUUUAGCUCAACACUUUUCUGAAAGAGCUUAAAUAUUCUUUUGCUUUUUUUGUUUUUUUUUUGUUUGUUUGAGGAUUGGGAACUAUGAAGUAACAUACUGUGAUCUACUGAUUUUCAUUCCCAAAAUGAACAAAGCAAGUGUCAGUAACAGAUUGAGGAUCAGAUUCAAGGGCAUCAUAUUGUUGAAAUCAUUUCCUGUUUGCUGAUCCUGGGUGAUGAAGAAGUUGGAGUUGAUUAAUAUUCACAAGUCAUAACCUUUGAAGGUUGGAGAAACAGAAUCUACAGUCCAAGCUACCUCCAAGAGAAUUGAAGGUUCCCAAGUCACUUUUAAUUGAAACCUCCAAAACUGAGCCCGAGGAUCAAACAACUGCAAUACAAUAUACAACAAGAAGGUAACAAGAAAUUCUAACUAGACCACCAUCAUGAGUAUGGGAUAUUUCACUGAAAUUGUUUUAUGCAUUCAAAUGGGGAUAGAGAAGUGUUAGCAAUACACUCUCUAACACACUCCUUCUAACACCUCUAUUAUAGCUAAAAUUGAUGAAAACCACAAAACUAUGAUUGAGGCUUCUUAAACAGAAGCCAGAUGUGCAAAGUUUUGUGAUUUUGAAUAAAUUUUAGUCCAUAAUAUUAAUAGAGUAUAUUUUAAAAGAGUGUGUUAUUGAUCGACAUUUCUGAAUGAGGAAAUAUAAAUAUAAGUCAUAAAUGCAAUGCAUGAGAUUAAGCUUGUUUCCGAUAGGAACAAGAAAUUGAAAAAUGAUUGGCAUUCAUUGAAGCAAUGCUAGAUAUUUUCUGAAGCUCUUUGGGGAUCAUAAGUAAACCAUAUUGUCAUUCCAACAAGAAAGAAAAGAUGAAGGAGAUGGUAGCUGUUUGCUUUGAUAAUUAAAUGAACAAUUAAUGCUAGAGAGGCAUUGAGUAGGAUGGCAAUCAUGGAUGAGCUACCCUUUAGGUUUGUGUCAAAGCAGAAGGAUUUAGAUACAGCAUGAGUGUUGUUCAGCUUUUAUUUAAUGCUCCAUCCAGGAUGUACAAUGAACAGUUAUAAAUUUACAUAAAUAAAAACAUAGGAAAGGACUUAUUAUUAUCUCAGGAUGCAAAAUCUGAAUUAUACGUGCAUCAUUUCCCCCUUCACAGAUAAAGAGUACACAGUCCACAAGAGGAUUAUGAAUUUGUUAAAUUCCUACUGAGUACUAACAAAAGGAGCGGGGGGGGGGGGGGGGGGGGGGGUGGACUAUUAAGUUAAUUUGACUUUAGAAAUAUAGUGAGAUUAAAAAUUCAACUAAUUGUACAAAGAUGAAAGGCAAAUCACUAGUGUCUGGGGGUGUUCAAAUAAGGUGUUAGAGUAUGCUUUUAAAUUACAAACAACAUUUUAGAGACUUGAAGAUACUAAUGGGAACUAUUUGUUUGAGUUUUUAGGUGUAAAAGGAUCUUCCAGAGACCAGAGAGCUAGUUAGUAAUGAUUGAUGACAUUAAAUCCAUGGAUAGCAAAAUGAAACGAAAGCAUAAGAACUAUUAAUUGGGGAAACUUAGUUACUUAAUGCUGAUUUUUUAUACUAAGUUUUUGUUGGACCAAAGAUAUAAAAUACUGUAAACUUUGUUGAGUUUCUUUAAUUUGCUAACUGUAUGGUUUUGAAACUGCAAAAGCAUUGGCUUCCAAUUAAUGUGAAAUAUACAUUAACCUCAUUGUUUGAGCAUUAUUUCUUUUAUUGUGACUCGUGAAGUAGCUCAAGAACUGAACACUUCUAAGUUUCAGUUCUUCAGGCUAAGGAUUAUGGAGCCUUCAUUGAAGACAUUCAUUUAUAUAUAUCUAUGGAUUUUGCUGAAUUAAUGAGUAAGAAAUAUCUAUUUGAGAACAAAAAUGAAAACGAAACCAAGAGAGGAAUCAUCUGUAAAUUGGAAUUUACUAAUUGGCGUAAGAUAAACUCAUCCAAAUAUGAAAUAUCUUUUACUUGUCAUGAUAGCAAGGAAUGUUCUUCUUGUCCCAAUUUCCGCACAGUGGCUGAUGUGAUCAUGUCAACUUUUUGCAUGAGAAGACCUCUGUAGAUGCAUAUAUAUAUAUAUAUAUAUAGAAAAUUAUUGAGUCUAAUUUAUAAGGGUUAAGCACCCAUUUGUGCUUAAACCUGGUUUUUGUGUAUAUAUAUCACUGCCCAGUGCUAUUUAUGGAGAGACAAGGUGGUGGAUGAAAUUGAUCAUGGUAAUAUAUCAUAACACUUUUAGUUCAUUCUUGAACAACACUAAUAUGUUGGAAAGAAGACAGAUAGCUUUCUGGAUCAGGAAAUCUGAUCUGCAUGCUAAUUACUCAAUAAACAAAAUGUAUGUUUAUUCACAUGUAUGUAGUACUGUACUUUGUAAUCCUGACCUUUUAGCUUUUAUAGAUUGAAGGAAAGAGGUACUAGGCUACUAGUUUGAUGAGAA